RNAcentral lists this ribosomal RNA (484 nucleotides) under uncultured bacterium. RNAcentral describes it as "partial 16S ribosomal RNA". It matches the Rfam family "Bacterial small subunit ribosomal RNA", at positions 30 to 507 of the family's 1533-position model. The record is from RNAcentral.
AUUGAACGCUGGCGGCAGGCCUAACACAUGCAAGUCGAGCGGAUGACGGGAGCUUGCUCCUUGAUUCAGCGGCGGACGGGUGAGUAAUGCCUAGGAAUCUGCCUGGUAGUGGGGGACAACGUUUCGAAAGGAACGCUAAUACCGCAUACGUCCUACGGGAGAAAGCAGGGGACCUUCGGGCCUUGCGCUAUCAGAUGAGCCUAGGUCGGAUUAGCUUGUUGGUGAGGUAAUGGCUCACCAAGGCGACGAUCCGUAACUGGUCUGAGAGGAUGAUCAGUCACACUGGAACUGAGACACGGUCCAGACUCCUACGGGAGGCAGCAGUGGGGAAUAUUGGACAAUGGGCGAAAGCCUGAUCCAGCCAUGCCGCGUGUGUGAAGAAGGUCUUCGGAUUGUAAAGCACUUUAAGUUGGGAGGAAGGGUUGUAGAUUAAUACUCUGCGAUUUUGACGUUACCGACAGAAUAAGCACCGGCUAACUCUGUG